CCGCCCCCCCCCACCGAGGCCAGGCCCAGGGGGAGAGGCACCACGAUAGGGUGGCCCUCGGCGCGGACCGGCGGCCGCUCCGGGCAUCGAGCGGCUUCGUUCCGGGCGGGCGCUGGCUCCAGCGAGCCAGGCAGCCAGAGAGCGACAGAGGCCACGCCCACCCGCUCCGCGCCUCAACGGGCGGCGCACGCGCACCAGGCUGGCCCUGUCCCGCGCGGCCUGCCUCGCGAGCCUGCGCCCGGAGUUCCCGCGAGAGCUGCGCGGGCGCCUGAGGCGGGGGGGGCUUUCGUUGGUGCCGCUUCCACAGCCCCCUACUCGUCUUCCUCCCCCCGCCGGCGCGGGCUCAGCUGCGCAGCUUCCCUCAGUCGCGCCGCCGGAGCCGCCGCCGGGAGACGGUUGAACGAGCCGUUUGUGGAGGGCGCACGCAGCGCGAGACGAGCGGCCGCCCCUGACCUCGCGCCUCCCGCCGCCGGAGCCCGCCAGCCCGGGUGUCUGAGGUACGACGGGGCGGGCGGCCGGGCCGGGGUGGGGUGGGGGGGUGAGGAGCCGGAGCCGGAGAAGGACGGACGGACGUGGGGGGGAGGGAGGGAGGUAGGCCCGGAGCGGGGCCCGCGGCGGACGGAGGCCUCGCGCCGCCAUCUUGAGCGCGUUGGCGCGCCUGGGCCCGGCCCGGCUUGGCCCGCCCCUCCGGUCUCCACCGCCUCGGGUCCAGCGGCCGUCGGGUCCUGCCGGGGCCGAGCUCUGCCCGGAGGCCGGAGCGGGCUCCGUGGAGAUGGCGCCGGGACGUGCCUCGUUCUCCUCCCGCGGCGUCCGGGCCCCGCCGGCCGCUUCCAGGGCCAGGGCCCGGGUCGGACCGCGAAGGGAGCGCCUGGGCGCGGGACAAAGGAGGCGGCCUCCUUUGUAAUGCCGCGGCCCCCGCCCCCGGAGGAUGCCCGAGGCCGCGCCUUCCCCGGGGAGGGCUCUGCCUGGGCCCUUAAAGCGACUUUGGGGAAAGUAACGGAAGCGGGAGCGGGGUCUGGGGGCGGCUGGGCUUUGUGGGGGCGGGGGCGGCGGCGGCGCGGAGCCGCGGCUGGGGAUUCAUUUGUGAAUUCUGCAUUUCAGUGUUUCAGUUAA
Molecule: long non-coding RNA, 1113 nt
Filed under: Phascolarctos cinereus (koala)
Lineage: Eukaryota; Metazoa; Chordata; Mammalia; Diprotodontia; Phascolarctidae
Description: lncRNA (ENSPCIG00000030667.1)
Source: RNAcentral